AACGAACGCUGGCGGCAUGCCUAACACAUGCAAGUCGAACGAGACCUUCGGGUCUAGUGGCGCACGGGUGCGUAACGCGUGGGAACCUGCCCUUAGGUUCGGAAUAACUCCCCGAAAGGGGUGCUAAUACCGGAUAAUGUCUUCGGACCAAAGAUUUAUCGCCUUUGGAUGGGCCCGCGUUGGAUUAGCUAGUUGGUAGGGUAAAAGCCUACCAAGGCGACGAUCCAUAGCUGGUCUGAGAGGAUGAUCAGCCACACUGGGACUGAGACACGGCCCAGAGGCGAAGGGGGGGCAGCAGGGGGAAAGGUUAGACAACGGGAAAAAGCGUGCUGCAGCAAGGAUGGGUGAGAGAAGAAGGCUUGAGUGGUGUAAUUCUUUUUAACCGGGAAUGAUAAUGACGGGACGGGAAGAAUACGCCCCGGAUACCCCCGGGCCAGCAGCCGCGGAAAUAAUGGGAACAGCACCCGCCUGACC
This 474-nucleotide ribosomal RNA is filed under the name uncultured bacterium. Its description in RNAcentral is "partial 16S ribosomal RNA". It matches the Rfam family "Bacterial small subunit ribosomal RNA", at positions 35 to 539 of the family's 1533-position model. The record is from RNAcentral.